AUCUGCCUGGUAGUGGGGGAUAACGUCCGGAAACGGACGCUAAUACCGCAUACGUCCUACGGGAGAAAGCAGGGGACCUUCGGGCCUUGCGCUAUCAGAUGAGCCUAGGUCGGAUUAGCUAGUUGGUGGGGUAAUGGCUCACCAAGGCGACGAUCCGUAACUGGUCUGAGAGGAUGAUCAGUCACACUGGAACUGAGACACGGUCCAGACUCCUACGGGAGGCAGCAGUGGGGAAUAUUGGACAAUGGGCGAAAGCCUGAUCCAGCCAUGCCGCGUGUGUGAAGAAGGUCUUCGGAUUGUAAAGCACUUUAAGUUGGGAGGAAGGGCAGUAAAUUAAUACUUUGCUGUUUUGACGUUACCGACAGAAUAAGCACCGGCUAACUCUGUGCCAGCAGCCGCGGUAAUACAGAGGGUGCAAGCGUUAAUCGGAAUUACUGGGCGUAAAGCGCGCGUAGGUGGUUCGUUAAGUUGGAUGUGAAAUCCCCGGGCUCAACCUGGGAACUGCAUUCAAAACUGACGAGCUAGAGUAUGGUAGAGGGUGGUGGAAUUUCCUGUGUAGCGGUGAAAUGCGUAGAUAUAGGAAGGAACACCAGUGGCGAAGGCGACCACCUGGACUGAUACUGACACUGA
This 630-nucleotide ribosomal RNA is filed under the name uncultured bacterium. Its description in RNAcentral is "bacterial SSU rRNA". It matches the Rfam family "Bacterial small subunit ribosomal RNA", at positions 124 to 749 of the family's 1533-position model. The record is from RNAcentral.